Molecule: ribosomal RNA, 1644 nt
Filed under: Triticum aestivum (bread wheat)
Lineage: Eukaryota; Viridiplantae; Streptophyta; Magnoliopsida; Poales; Poaceae
Description: partial small subunit ribosomal RNA
Source: RNAcentral
AUGCCGCCUCCGCCUCCGCCUCUCGCUCAGGAGAUGCCCCGCCCGGCCGCCGCCGCCGCCCGGGAGGACCACGCGACCAUGGACGUCGCACGCCCAGCAGCAAGGUGUGAGAUAUGUGGGAGUGGAGAGAACCAGCACGUUAUGUUCAGCUGCAUCCAGUGCAACGGCUGUCAACAUCGUUAUUGCCUGCUGGUGGUGGAGUUUGAAAUGAGAUAUGACUGGUGUUGCUCUGAAUGCAAAAAAAAGGCUAAUGGGGACCCAAAACCUAUUCAAGGUGAAAAAACAGAGUUUCAAAGGCCUGAGAAGGGUCACAGAAAUGUGGCCCAUCAAAUUGGUGUUAAAACACCACAGAUAUAUGAAAAUUCUAAAGUGAAGUUCAUUCGCUGUGAAGAGGAGGCACUGUUGAGUAGAGAGAGGCCAGCAGUUCAUUAUACGCGAAGAUUUGUCGCGCGACGUAGUCAGGUUAAGCCUGCAUCUCCACCAAAUCUGAAGUGCUCAUCCCCCAGUAGACAGGUUCAUCCUGCAUCUCCUCCACGUAUGAAAUGCAUAUCACCCAGUAGACAGGUCCAUCCUGCAUCUCCAACUAUGAAAUGCAUAUCACCCAGUAGACAGGUCCAUCCUGCAUCUCCAACUAUGAAAUGCAUAUCACCCAGUAGACAGGUUCAUCCUGCAUCUCCCUCAAGCAUGAAACCUUCGUCCAGUAUGAAGGGCAUACUUCCCAGUAGUCAGGGUCGCCCUCCAUCUCCUCAAAGUAUGAAACAGUCGUGCAGUAUGAAGUGUGUAUCUCCCAGUAGGAGUGAUGGUCAAGCAGUUUCCUUGAAGCGAUGCGCUGUUGCAAGUCAAAACCCGAUAAAAGCUGAUGAUACGAAGAAGAGACAGAAAGUGCAGUCAGACAUUAUUUUUGAAAAAACAGGUGCGACGAUUCCUACGAUUCCACAUAAUACAAAAGGAGAAGUUACGAGAAUUGACCAGCAGCUUCAAGAUCAGCCUAAAGAAGAGAAGGUAGCCAAUGCAGAUGGAGGAAAAUGCAACUCCUGGAUAGACGAUCAACCUACUGGGAAAAGUGCACUCAAUGCUUCAGUGCUAACAGAUGCUGAUAGUGGAUGUGGAUCUGGAACAAAGAGUCUGCACAACAAUAUAGACAUGCCAGUGAUCAUCAGCUCAAGUGCAGAGUAUGCAAGACGCCCUCCACCAGAAGGACAUUGCUGGAAGGGAUGCUUUCUCCUCUCUGAUGGAGAAAGUUCUAAUCUUGGUGAAUUUAAAGCAUACUUCCCAUCUGUAGUAUCACCCAGAGUUUGUGAUAUCGCCAAGAAGAUGCCUAACAAUAUACAGUUGAAGAUAUCACCUCGAAUGAAUUACUGGCCAAAGACCUUUGACGAAUUCUGUCCAGUUUAUGAUGACAUUGCCUUGAUAUUUUUCCCUGCUGAACUUGACUGUUAUAACAAAAAGCAUCCUCGUCGCUUGGAGGCGUACAACAAUUUUGUCAUGAAGGCAUAUAUUGAUGACAUCAUGCUGUUGAUAUAUUCCUCGGAAGUGCUUCCACCUGAUUCUCAGUGGAUAGACGGAGAGAAUUACCUAUGGGGAGUUUUUGUGAAGCCGAAGGCAAAGAGCAAUCAUGCGCACUUAGGUUCAGUUGCUACAUGA